UACGGAGGGUGCAAGCGUUAAUCGGAAUUACUGGGCGUAAAGCGCACGCAGGCGGUUUGUUAAGUCAGAUGUGAAAUCCCCGGGCUCAACCUGGGAACUGCAUCUGAUACUGGCAAGCUUGAGUCUCGUAGAGGGGGGUAGAAUUCCAGGUGUAGCGGUGAAAUGCGUAGAGAUCUGGAGGAAUACCGGUGGCGAAGGCGGCCCCCUGGACGAAGACUGACGCUCAGGUGCGAAAGCGUGGGGAGCAAACAGGAUUAGAUACCCUGGUAGUCCACGCCGUAAACGAUGUCGACUUGGAGGUUGUGCCCUUGAGGCGUGGCUUCCGGAGCUAACGCGUUAAGUCGACCGCCUGGGGAGUACGGCCGCAAGGUUAAA
Molecule: ribosomal RNA, 375 nt
Filed under: uncultured bacterium
Lineage: Bacteria
Description: bacterial SSU rRNA
Rfam family: Bacterial small subunit ribosomal RNA
Source: RNAcentral